Molecule: long non-coding RNA, 1071 nt
Filed under: Anser cygnoides (Swan goose)
Lineage: Eukaryota; Metazoa; Chordata; Aves; Anseriformes; Anatidae
Description: lncRNA (ENSACDG00005009233.1)
Source: RNAcentral
ACUGAUGGAACAUGACAUUACUGGGGCAGCCUCUGGGCUUUUCACAGUGCUGCAGGACACAAGCAACACUGACUGUGAAUGUGGAAAAGCAGAACAAAAUGCCAAGUCAAGAUAACACACAUGUGAUAACAGCAAGGAAAUCCUCAAAGGGAAUUCCCAAAAUGACCACACAAACCAGAAGACUUGUCUGAUGGACCCAUGAAUUGUAAAAAAUUUUGAGGAAAGAUCCACACAGAGGGUGGGUGGGUUGGGACCACACAGCUACCUGUAAGGCUCUUGCAGUCUGCAGGCAGGUGCCAUACACCUUUCUUUUUCCUUGAUUCAAUGCUGUUUCAUGUAAGGUUUUCAAAAUCUCCAGCAAGACACUGAGGAGGGAAAAGACCAACGUAUGUUUUGGGUUGCCUCCCAAACCAGGUCCUGCUCUAGACCACAGCCCUUUUUAUACUGUCCCAUCCAUGUCACAGACCCCACUGUGAUGUGGCCACUACUGAUUUGCUGUCUGUUGUGACAUGGCCACCAUAGUUCUCAGUACAAGGAGCUGAUGUAGUGAGCAGACCACAGCUCCAUCGGGAAACAGGACUGUGGCUCCUGGCACUUGCUCGAAUGCACUGUGCUGGACAAUCUCCUCAACCCAGGCCUGUUGGGAGAUGCCUACACAUAGCACCAUAUCUAGAACUGGAUGCCAUGCCAGGGCUGCUGUGGAAGACAACAACCUUAGCCAAUAUAAAGGCCUGAAGAGCCACCCUGACUUCCUCAUAACAGAGACUUCUAGAACUGGACUUCAUAUUAACUAUGGGACAUUGAUCAUUUUGCUGCUAAUCUCAGGAGAGAGUCACCACUGUUCUCAACCAUGACAAUGCAAAAAAAAAAAAAAAAAAAGCGCUUUAAAAGUUAAAUAAUGACUUUUUAUCAUUAUUCUAUGGAUUUUUUUUUCUGUCUUGUCCUAGCAAAGCCGAGUGUUUCUUCUUCCUUUCAAACUUUUUCAAAUUCACCUUGGAUAAAAAUGGAUAAUGUAAUGAAUAAUGGAGAAUGAGAAAGUGGGAAUAAUAAAAGGUAGCUGUCAUUUUUUCA